GAAAUACAAUGAGGCAUAGGUCCUCUAUGGAUACUCUUGUGUGUCUUCAUCUAUGAAGCUUCAUGCUCAGGAUGCCGGAAGGUUUCUAGCCUUCCUCCUUCCUUUCUUCUUUUUUCUCCUCUUCCUCCUUCCUCUUCUUCUUUUCUUCUCCCUAUUCCUCUCCAUCCCCCUUUCCUUCUAUCCACUCAUCCUCCUCCUCUUCCUCCUCUUCUGCCAAGUGGAGCUCCAAAGAAGAUUGUCUUCUCAACUCUAACAGGAUGGCUUUACAGGAUCCAGAGUCCUGUUAGCUGAACACUGGGAAUACAGGAGAAAACUCAAAAGUUGAUAUCCAAGGUGGUGUGUGUUACAUGGCAAUCACAGAAUUAAGACACAUAGUUUAAGAAAACUCAACUUUCAUUUCAUUCCAGUAAGGCAGCAGUGUUCCGAGAUGACUGGGUCAUGAGAGUUCCAACUUCAUUCGGGGACUCAUCCGCUUAAUGACCAUGAGGAGAUGGUGGAGACUUCAGCUGGGAAAAGGAAAUUUUACCUCUGCCAUGGUGAGCAGGCUUCAAUGAAGCGUUCUUCACUCUUCAAGGUAGGUAGCAGAGAAAGGCUCAUAAGAGUCACUUUUGGAUUUAAUCUAGAGGGGGAAAACAGUUAGAGUUGG
Mesocricetus auratus (golden hamster) is the source of this 646-nucleotide long non-coding RNA. RefSeq lists it as uncharacterized. The transcript has 4 exons. Lineage: Eukaryota; Metazoa; Chordata; Mammalia; Rodentia; Cricetidae. The record is from RefSeq and is a predicted model, not a curated record.